UACGGAGGGUGCGAGCGUUGUUCGGAAUCACUGGGCGUAAAGCGCGUGUAGGCGGCCCACUAAGUCUGAUGUGAAAGCCCGGGGCUCACCCCCGGAAGUGCAUUGGAAACUGGUGGACUCGAGUCCCGGAGAGGAGAGUGGAAUUCCUGGUGUAGCGGUGAAAUGCGUAGAUAUCAGGAGGAACACCGGUGGCGAAGGCGGGUCUCUGGGCAACAACUGACGCUGAGGAGCGAAAGCGUGGGGAGCGAACAGG
Molecule: ribosomal RNA, 253 nt
Filed under: uncultured bacterium
Lineage: Bacteria
Description: partial 16S ribosomal RNA
Rfam family: Bacterial small subunit ribosomal RNA
Source: RNAcentral